This 498-nucleotide ribosomal RNA is filed under the name uncultured bacterium. RNAcentral's name for it is "partial 16S ribosomal RNA". It matches the Rfam family "Bacterial small subunit ribosomal RNA", at positions 30 to 523 of the family's 1533-position model. The record is from RNAcentral.
AUUGAACGCUGGCGGCAUGCUUUACACAUGCAAGUCGAACGGCAGCGCGGGGCAACCUGGCGGCGAGUGGCGAACGGGUGAGUAAUAUAUCGGAACGUACCCAAGAGUGGGGGAUAACGUAGCGAAAGUUACGCUAAUACCGCAUACGAUCUUAGGAUGAAAGCAGGGGACCGCAAGGCCUUGUGCUCCUGGAGCGGCCGAUAUCUGAUUAGCUAGUUGGUGAGGUAAAGGCUCAACAAGGCGACGAUCAGUAGCUGGUCUGAGAGGACGACCAGCCACACUGGGACUGAGACACGGCCCAGACUCCGACGGGAGGCAGCAGUGGGGAAUUUUGGACAAUGGGCGCAAGCCUGAUCCAGCAAUGCCGCGUGAGUGGAGAAGGCCUUCGGGUUGUAAAGCUCUUUUGUCAGGGAAGAAACGGCUGAGGAUAAUACCUUCGGCUAAUGACGGUACCUGAAGAAUAAGCACCGGCUAACUACGUGCCAGCCGCCGCGGUAA